CAAGUCAACUUAAGUAAUCUGUGGAUUGUUUGUAAGUAGUGAAGUUUUGGAGAGAUGGGAAGGAAAUAAAGUGUCGACAGAUGGUAAGCAGGGAAGGUUGCACAUGGCAUCACCGACACUCUUAAAGCCUUGGACAAUGCAUCAGAGCUAAGUACAGUUGAAAGGUUUUGUUUAUGGUCUUCUUGCCCUUUUGGCUUCUCCUAAAAGCAUAGAAACUAUACGACGAUUGUUUAACUUAAUUAUUCUAUUUGUU
RNAcentral lists this long non-coding RNA (253 nucleotides) under Capsella rubella. RNAcentral describes it as "long non-coding RNA (CRUB_LNC001704)". Lineage: Eukaryota; Viridiplantae; Streptophyta; Magnoliopsida; Brassicales; Brassicaceae. The record is from RNAcentral.